GAUGAACGCUGGCUACAGGCUUAACACAUGCAAGUCGAGGGGAAACGGCAUUGAGUGCUUGCACUGAAUGGACGUCGACCGGCGCACGGGUGAGUAACGCGUAUCCAACCUUCCCGUUACUGCGGGAUAACCUGCCGAAAGGCAGACUAAUACCGCAUGUUCUUCGAUGACGGCAUCAGAUUCGAAGCAAAGAUCCGUCGGUAACGGAGGGGGAUGCGUCUGAUUAGCUAGUUGGCGGGGCGACGGCCCACCAAGGCGACGAUCAGUAGGGGUUCUGAGAGGAAGGUCCCCCACAUUGGAACUGAGACACGGUCCAAACUCCUACGGGAGGCAGCAGUGAGGAAUAUUGGUCAAUGGGCGGAAGCCUGAACCAGCCAAGUAGCGUGCAGGAGGACGGCCCUACGGGUUGUAAACUGCUUUUAUGCGGGGAUAAAGUGAGGGACGCGUCCCUUUUUGCAGGUACC
This 464-nucleotide ribosomal RNA is filed under the name Prevotella denticola. RNAcentral's name for it is "bacterial SSU rRNA". It matches the Rfam family "Bacterial small subunit ribosomal RNA", at positions 28 to 479 of the family's 1533-position model. Lineage: Bacteria; Pseudomonadati; Bacteroidota; Bacteroidia; Bacteroidales; Prevotellaceae. The record is from RNAcentral.